This 393-nucleotide unclassified non-coding RNA is filed under the name Hevea brasiliensis (rubber tree). Lineage: Eukaryota; Viridiplantae; Streptophyta; Magnoliopsida; Malpighiales; Euphorbiaceae. The record is from RNAcentral.
GAGGAUGAACUUCCAGUUUCCUGUAGUACAAAAAUAGCAGGAAAAAAAAAAUGCAAGCACAUAUUGACCAAAUUCCUUGGUAAGAUACAGAGAAAAAAGAUAAAAAAAAAAAAAUGAAAUUGCCUUUAACUUCUACUUAUCUUAAUUAAAAAGCCCUUCAUCCAUACUGAACAUCUAAGCAAUAACUCUAAAUUAUGGUUGUCUACUGUUAUGGUUUUCGUUUCUAAGAAACUAGGCAUAUAUGAAUAAAUAGCCAAUCUAAUGUUUUCCUCAGCAGCCACAAAAAAAUAAAACAAAUUAAAGAAAUAAGCCAACCAAACAGAUAAAGCCAAAUAAUCCAAAUUAGAUUCGAGUUCAAAAAAAAAAAAACCUGUGGAACUGGGACAGACGAUG